Oryzias latipes (Japanese medaka) is the source of this 81-nucleotide non-coding RNA. NCBI's taxonomy places the organism in Eukaryota, Metazoa, Chordata, Actinopteri, Beloniformes, Adrianichthyidae. The record is from Rfam.
UGCAUCUCACCAGCUGUAACAGCAUCUCCAUAUGGAAAGACUCAGGCUUCCAGUGGAGCUGCUGUUAUUUGUGGCGGGACG